This 101-nucleotide small nuclear RNA is filed under the name Catagonus wagneri (Chacoan peccary). Lineage: Eukaryota; Metazoa; Chordata; Mammalia; Artiodactyla; Tayassuidae. The record is from RNAcentral.
GUGUUCACUUCGGCAGCACAUAUACAAAAACUGGAACUAUGCUGAGAAGAUUAGCAUGGCCCCUGUCUGACACACAAAUUCAUGAAGCGUUUCAUAGUUUU